RNAcentral lists this transfer RNA (77 nucleotides) under Nasibacterium caprae. Its description in RNAcentral is "Moraxella sp. ZY210820 tRNA-Arg". It matches the Rfam family "tRNA". From Rfam's summary of the family: Transfer RNA (tRNA) molecules are approximately 80 nucleotides in length. Their secondary structure includes four short double-helical elements and three loops (D, anti-codon, and T loops). RNAcentral also lists the same sequence under 1 other name. Lineage: Bacteria; Pseudomonadati; Pseudomonadota; Gammaproteobacteria; Moraxellales; Moraxellaceae. The record is from RNAcentral.
GCGCUUAUAGCUCAGCUGGAUAGAGCACUUGGCUACGAACUAAGGGGUCGGGAGUUCGAAUCUCUCUAAGCGCGCCA